GCCCGGUUAGCUCAGUUGGAAGAGCGUGUGGCUUUUAUGACGUCACAGGCGUAAUGAUACCUCAAUGUCGUGGGUUCGAGCCCCACAUCGGGCG
Aspergillus nanangensis is the source of this 94-nucleotide non-coding RNA. The record is from the annotation of a GenBank genome assembly. Lineage: Eukaryota; Fungi; Ascomycota; Eurotiomycetes; Eurotiales; Aspergillaceae.